Molecule: ribosomal RNA, 1449 nt
Filed under: Dictyosporium digitatum
Lineage: Eukaryota; Fungi; Ascomycota; Dothideomycetes; Pleosporales; Dictyosporiaceae
Description: bacterial SSU rRNA
Rfam family: Eukaryotic small subunit ribosomal RNA
Source: RNAcentral
AGCAUUAUACCGUGAAACUGCGAAUGGCUCAUUAAAUCAGUUAUCGUUUAUUUGAUAGUACCUUACUACUUGGAUACCCGUGGUAAUUCUAGAGCUAAUACAUGCUAAAAACCCCGACUUCGGGAGGGGUGUGUUUAUUAGAUAAAAAACCAACGCCCUUCGGGGCUCCUUGGUGAUUCAUGAUAACCUCUCAGAUCGCACGGCCUUGCGCCGGCGACGGUUCAUUCAAAUUUCUGCCCUAUCAACUUUCGAUGGUAAGGUAUUGGCUUACCAUGGUUUCAACGGGUAACGGGGAAUUAGGGUUCGAUUCCGGAGAGUGAGCCUGAGAAACGGCUCACACAUCCAAGGAAGGCAGCAGGCGCGCAAAUUACCCAAUCCCGACACGGGGAGGUAGUGACAAUAAAUACUGAUACAGGGCUCUUUUGGGUCUUGUAAUUGGAAUGAGUACAAUUUAAACCUCUUAACGAGGAACAAUUGGAGGGCAAGUCUGGUGGACAUUCAGCUCCCAUUCUGCUGACGCCAGAGAUAGUCGGGCAGUCUCAUUCGAGGCUGUUAUGCCGGCUAGUCGAGUACCUACUUAAUUGAUGGGGAGGUACCGGCAAGACAACCUGGAUCGGGGAAGGCUAAGGUACGGAAGUGCUAUGCUAAUCCCGAGCAGAGCUACCAAGGAGCGAUCCCUGGAUAGCCUGUGUAGAGCGCGCUAAGGUGUCGGCCAGCUCACGUAGUUGGCUUAAGGGACGUGCCAUUCCCAUCCGAAAGGGUGGCUGCCAGCAGAAGCGCCCAUCACGCGAGCGCUGGCAGGUUCAAAUAUGUUUGCAAAGGCAGGAACAAGCACUGCGUGCCUUCCGUCAGUUCCUCACACUAAGGAAGCAACUUCCUCAGCAUUGCAAACAUUUUGAAGUAUUUCUAAAAGGCCAGCAGCCGCGGUAAUUCCAGCUCCAAUAGCGUAUAUUAAAGUUGUUGCAGUUAAAAAGCUCGUAGUUGAAUCUUUGGCCUGGCUGGCGGGUCCGCCUCACCGCGUGCACUUGUCCGGCCGGGCCUUCUCUUCUGGAGAACCGCAUGCCCUUCACUGGGCGUGUUGGGGACCAGGACUUUUACUUUGAAAAAAUUAGAGUGUUCAAAGCAGGCCUUUGCUCGAAUACGUUAGCAUGGAAUAAUAGAAUAGGACGUGCGGUCCUAUUUUGUUGGUUUCUAGGACCGCCGUAAUGAUUAAUAGGGACAGUCGGGGGCAUCAGUAUUCAAUUGUCAGAGGUGAAAUUCUUGGAUUUAUUGAAGACUAACUACUGCGAAAGCAUUUGCCAAGGAUGUUUUCAUUAAUCAGUGAACGAAAGUUAGGGGAUCGAAGACGAUCAGAUACCGUCGUAGUCUUAACCAUAAACUAUGCCGACUAGGGAUCGGGCGGUGUUAUCGAUUUGACCCGCUCGGCACCUUGCGAGAAAUCAAAGUGUU